UUCCGGUUUGAUGGGAUGUCACGGCCUCGCCCCCCCCAGAGAGAAAGCGAGGGAAAGAGAGCGAGCAGGUGAUUAAGUGAAGCGGCCUCAGGUGCCACAGCUCGUCACACACCUGAACUGAGCGGCUCUCGAACCUCCGGAGAAACUUCUAGUGUCUGACAGCAUCUGGUGCACGUGCGCUUCCCGCUGCUGCUUCACACGCGCGCACAGAUAGUUGCAGGUUCACAGUGGAGAUAUUUGAUUUGUCGUUUCGAGCUGAGUUCUCUGCAGAGCUGCAGCAGCAAAUAUGUUUGCUUGAGUUGUCUGGUUUCCAGUUAGUUUUAUUUCUCCUGUGUUCCUUUAACUUCAGGUAGGAUCAGCCUACGCAGGUUUUAUUGUCUGGAGGAUUUUAACAGGUGGGAGGUUCAGGUAGAGACAGGGAGGCCAUGAAGGAGGAGAUAGCAGCCGCUGUGUUCUUCGUGGCUCGGCUGGUGAAGAGGUAUGGUUGUCUGGAUAACCACGGCAGGGAGAGGUUCGCCACUGCACUGACCUCGGCUCUGUUCGAGAACUACAAGAACCACUGGCACCCAAAGGCUCCCACCAAGGGUCAGGCCUACAGGUGUCUGCGUAUGAAUGGCGUGCGGCUGCAGGACCCGGUGCUGCAGCAGGCCUGUGAGCGCAGCGCGGUGCGGUACCAGGAUCUGGGCCUUCCCCACGAGCUGACGGUGUGGGUCGACCCUGGAGAGGUGUCCUGCAGGUAUGGUGAACGCAGCUCUCCGUUCUGCGUCUCAGUGGUGGACAGUUGCCGGCGUGAUGGGGGAUUCUCCCGACGUGUCCAUGACGCCGUGGAGCGGGCGAGCCUUGACAUCCCGUCAGGAAGCUCCGACGACGAGGACGAGGCCGGUGGAGACAUCAGCAUGAGCAGCAACAGCAUGAGCAGCAACAGCAUGAGCAACAGCAUGAGCAACAGCAUGAGCAACAGCGCAGCAACAGCAUGAGCAGCAGCGGCAGUUGCGGCGGCGGCAGCGUCCUGUCGGUUCUCUGCCCUGCUCCGAUCCCAGCCAACAACCUUGAACCCAAAACCAUCCCAACUGUCAGCAACCCCAACAGCGUCUACCGGAUCUCUUGUCACCGCCCGCUAUCCAUCGGCUCUUCUCGUCCUCAGUUCAGCGAGUUUUCUCCCGGCGCCCCUCAGACCUGGCUGAGGGAGAAGCGGAAGGCCUUCGCCGGUGACUCGUUCCCUCCUCACCCCCCGCACCCUCCUCACCCUCCUCCCUCCUCUCACCCUCCUCCCUCUCACCCUCCUCACCCUCCUCUCACCCUCCUCCAACUGGAGGCCCGAGCUCCCAGUUCUCCAUCCAGAAAGGCUUCAAGUCCUAUCGAGCCACGUUUACCUUCACUGGGCCUCGUGUGGACAAGUACCACUGGGUCAGCAAGUCUCGGUCCUGAAGCCCAGAACCACACUUGGGCUGCUGUUCUGGAAAGGAGCCGUGAUGUUAUGAAUGAAAAAAGUGUCUGGAGAGUUUGUCUGUUAUCUUUAAAAGUCUAAGUUUGUGGUUUAAAGUAGUAAUGGUUUAAAAAAAGUUAAUGCUAUUUCAGCACGUUUUUAAGCUUUGAAAUAUUCAGGUUUUAACUAAAUUCUUCCUUCUAAAUGUGUUUUUAAUUAAAAAUUAAUCUUAAGUGUGAAUAAAGUAACAUUCAACUGUCAUUGAAAAGAAAUAAAACUGGUUAUUCUAAA
Molecule: RNA transcript, 1717 nt
Organism: Hippoglossus stenolepis (Pacific halibut)
Lineage: Eukaryota; Metazoa; Chordata; Actinopteri; Pleuronectiformes; Pleuronectidae
Gene: btg4
Gene name: B-cell translocation gene 4
Exons: 4
Source: RefSeq, a predicted model, not a curated record